This 301-nucleotide ribosomal RNA is filed under the name uncultured bacterium. RNAcentral's name for it is "partial 16S ribosomal RNA". It matches the Rfam family "Bacterial small subunit ribosomal RNA", at positions 509 to 808 of the family's 1533-position model. The record is from RNAcentral.
CAGCCGCCGCGGUAAUACGAAGGGGGCUAGCGUUGUUCGGAAUUACUGGGCGUAAAGCGCACGUAGGCGGAUAUUUAAGUCAGGGGUGAAAUCCCAGAGCUCAACUCUGGAACUGCCUUUGAUACUGGUAUCUUGAGUAUGGAAGAGGUGAGUGGAAUUCCGAGUGUAGAGGUGAAAUUCGUAGAUAUUCGGAGGAACACCAGUGGCGAAGGCGGCUCACUGGUCCAUUACUGACGCUGAGGUGCGAAAGCGUGGGGAGCAAACAGGAUUAGAUACCCCGGUAGUCCCUGUCUCUUAUACA